This 791-nucleotide ribosomal RNA is filed under the name Anaplecta sp. 8 ZQW-2020. RNAcentral's name for it is "12S ribosomal RNA". The record is from RNAcentral. Lineage: Eukaryota; Metazoa; Arthropoda; Insecta; Blattodea; Anaplectidae.
UAAUGGAGUUGUUCCAUGAUUUAUUAAGAGAUUGUUAAAGGAUUUGGGGAGUGGGUAAGUUUGAUUCUUGCUAAAUCAUUGAUUGGUAAUAUAUUUUAUAUGUGUGGGUUUCUUGAUGAUUAUUUUGCAAUAUUUAGAAUUGAAUAUUAAGGUGUCUUAGAUUUGGUAAUAUUUUACAUGAUCGGCUAAUUUUGUGCCAGCAGCCGCGGUUAUACAUUAGAUGUUAAUCAAUGUUAAUCUUUAUUGCAGUUUUUGGUUUCUAUUUUUUGUUCUUGUUUUUAGGUGAAAUUUUAAUUUUUGUUUUUAUUAAAUUUAUGUAGGCUGUGAAGUUCUUUUUAUUAAACUAGGAUUAGAUACCCUAUUAUAUGGAAUGUAAAUUUUUAUUUUGAGUAGUAAUAGUUAGGUUCUUGAAACUUAAAGAAUUUGGCGGUAUUUCAGUCCAUUCAGAGGAAUCUGUCUUGUAAUCGAUAAUCCGCGUUUUACCUUACUUUGACUAUUUUUGUAUACCUCCGUUUUUGAGGAUUUUUUUAGAAUAUUAAUUUUCUUUAUUUUUUUUAAAAAUUUAUUUCAGGUCAAGGUGCAGAUUAUGUUUAAGUGUUGAUGGAUUACAUUGUUUUUUAUUUUUUUUGGAUUUUUUUUGAAAUAUUAAAUGAAACUGGAUUUGAUUGUAAUUUUUUUUAGGUUGUUAUUUUGAAAAGGUUCUGGAAUAUGUACAUAUCGCCCGUCACUCUCGCUAUUUUGUGAGAAAAGUCGUAACAUAGUGGUCGUACCGGAAGGUGUGGCUGGGAUGU